This is a long non-coding RNA of Ruditapes philippinarum (Manila clam), 658 nucleotides long. RefSeq lists it as uncharacterized. The record is from RefSeq and is a predicted model, not a curated record. The transcript is spliced from 4 exons. NCBI's taxonomy places the organism in Eukaryota, Metazoa, Mollusca, Bivalvia, Venerida, Veneridae.
AACUUAAUGGAUAUUUUCAUUGGUUGGUUAUCUCAUCCAUAUCAGAUUUGACACAGGAUACACACAGUGAGAAAAUCUGAUGCAUUUAAGCAAAGUGUUGAGCUACUAAAUAACUAUAUUAAAUGCUUUAAAAGGAUUGAUUAGGUGAGCAUCUUAACAAGUCAAGCCCUGUUUGUGACAAAAGUUCAACCUGACACGAGGCAAUGGAAGGACGUAAAGAUAUCUUAUACAUUACUGCGGUGAUUUUUCUAUUGAGCAUAGACUAUUCCAGAUCAGUAGAACAGUACAGUUUGAGUUAUAAUUACUUCGAUGAGAUGGCCCAGACUUAUUGUGCUUCGAGGAAGUCCUGGUUGGGUGUUUGCAAUCAGGAGAAAUUGUGCUAAUGCGCCGACAUGUCAGAUUAUGUGUGCAAAUGCUAAAAUCUCCAUUCUGAGAUCUAUCUCUUAUCAAAGAAAAAGCGUGAAAUGUUAUGAUGCAUUCGCCAUAAGAAAAAAUCAUGCCCUACUAAAAGCCAACCCUGGAGUAGACCAACCUGAUUCUGGAAAAAUUAAUCUUGCUUCAUAUGGAUACGGCUCUGGAGGAUGCACAUGGAGAGCUAAUCACUGCGGACCGAACUAUUGUUGCUGCAAAGCUUUUUAAUAAAAACAACAGACAUAUA